This 301-nucleotide ribosomal RNA is filed under the name uncultured bacterium. Its description in RNAcentral is "partial 16S ribosomal RNA". It matches the Rfam family "Bacterial small subunit ribosomal RNA", at positions 509 to 807 of the family's 1533-position model. The record is from RNAcentral.
CAGUCGCCACGGUAAUACGAAGGGGGCUAGCGUUGUUCGGAAUUACUGGGCGUAAAGCGCACGUAGGCGGAUACUUAAGUCAGGGGUGAAAUCCCGGGGCUCAACCCCGGAACUGCCUUUGAUACUGGGUAUCUCGAGUCCGGAAGAGGUGAGUGGAAUCCCGAGUGUAGAGGUGAAAUUCGUAGAUAUUCGGAGGAACACCAGUGGCGAAGGCGGCUCACUGGUCCGGUACUGACGCUGAGGUGCGAAAGCGUGGGGAGCAAACAGGAUUAGAUACCCGGGUAGUCCCUGUCUCUUAUAC